This 590-nucleotide ribosomal RNA is filed under the name Oletheriostrigula papulosa. Its description in RNAcentral is "eukaryotic LSU rRNA". The stretch from base 242 to 395 matches the Rfam family "5.8S ribosomal RNA". Lineage: Eukaryota; Fungi; Ascomycota; Dothideomycetes; Strigulales; Strigulaceae. The record is from RNAcentral.
CAAGGGUCUCCGUAAGGUGAACCUGCBGGAGGGRUCAUUACCGAGUUGUGCGUGCGGGUAACCACCCCCGCUCCACAUCCCAUCCCCUGUUUAUAACAAACUGUAUGUCACUUCGGCGGGCCAGAUGCCCCAGGGCCCCCCUCCACCGCGGGGGGAGCGUCCGCCGCGGUCAACAACCUAGAACACUGCCAUAAUGCACCUGUCAGUCAUGCCCCCUCGCGGGGACUUGAAUAUCAAUUACAACCUUCAACAAUGGAUCUCUUGGCUCCGGCAUCGAUGAAGAACGCAGCGAAAUGCGAUAGCUAGCGUGAAUUGCAGAUUUCAGUGAAUCAUCGAGUCUUUGAACGCACACAGCGCCCCUUGGCAUGCCUUGGGGCACACCUGUUCGAGCGUCGUUUCUCCCAUCGGGCCCCGUUCGCGGGACCGGUCUUGGGGCGUGUCCCGCGCAACGCGGCGGCAGCCCUUGAAUCCAUCGGCGGCGGCACGGCCCCCGGAAUGCUGUAGAGGGCAUGCUCYGCGGGGACGAGCCACCGGGCCGUAAAACACUUUCGCGUGCGUCCUCCCGGGCGCACUGCAAGGUCGACCUCGAA